This is a long non-coding RNA of Mustela lutreola (European mink), 2277 nucleotides long. RefSeq lists it as uncharacterized. Lineage: Eukaryota; Metazoa; Chordata; Mammalia; Carnivora; Mustelidae. The transcript is spliced from 6 exons. The record is from RefSeq and is a predicted model, not a curated record.
GGAAGGGGAGGGAGGGCUGGGGGCGAGAGGGGGCAGGCGACGACCAGUCUCCGUGGCUACUCAGGGCCGAGGGAGGCGCGCGCUGCUACAAUGGAGAUCCUCGGGGCUGGGGGAGGCUGUGGUGUCAGUGGGCGCGGUCGCUCCCGCUAGGGGCUGGCGGCUCUGGUGCAGCAGCCCUGGGGCCGGCUCCUCAGCGGCCCUCCGCCGCCGCCACCGCCAUGGCCAUUCCUCCCAGGCAAAGGGAGAUUUGCCCAGGUGAGGAGGGAUGGAGGGAGGGCGCCAGCCUGGGAGGGGAGAGGGAAGGAGCCGGCCCACUCCCCGCCACUGGCCUCUCCUGCCUCUGCGUGCCCCGUCCAGAUCCAGCCAGAGUCUCCUCUGCUGCCCUCGACCCCAGCCCCACGCUGCAGUCCACAAGUCAGCCUGCUCCCCGCGCCCACCACGGCCUCUCUUGGGCCGCUGGCAUCUCCCAAGCCUGUUUGAGGUAGCACAGUCUGGGCCCUGAGGUUGCGGGGUGCCCUUGGGGGCGCUCGGUGCACUCCCUGGUCCCCGUUUCGGUCCCUGAAAAGAGUAGGUGGGUGGUCUCUGAGCCAAGUUUGCAGCACUGGAUGCCUGGGAAAUUGCGAGGGCUAACCAGUGCCUUUGUUUUGCUGUUUCUCCUCCUUUUUAACUGGAUCCCUGUCUCUUCCUUCCCCUUUCCCCCACUCCUCACUCCUCAUAAGGCCAGAAAGACCAGGGAACCUGCUGCAGAGAAAGGCUUUUGGGGUUAGAGCAUCUGCACCUUCAGAAGCUGUGCUGAAGCCUUGAUAGGCAGCCUCUGCCAUGUGAGGGAAGGCACCUCCUCCAGAUAUUUGUGGAGAGAGGGAGAGAGAAUCCUGAAGUAGACUCCCCACUCAAGAUGAAGUCCAGUGCCGGGCUGGAUGCCAGGACCCUGAGAUCGGGACCUGAGCUGAAACCAAGAGCUGACCGCACAUACCAUUUGGUUUAAAUGGAUAUUUUGCUCGAGUCUAUGGCGUCAGUCAGCUGGUAAGGGCAUUUCUGCAGAAGAAAGAAUGUCAUUGUCAAAUUCUAAAUCUUGGGACUGGGAUGGAGACCACCUUCUGGAGAUUAAAGAUGUUCACGCAGUUGAUCCCAAGGAAAUCCCUGGGUGGCCAAGGGGUAGAAGGAAGAGCUGAAGUCCUCCAGCACCAUGGAAUCUGGCAAUGCACUGUGGACAGAAGCCUCCACCUCCACCUGCAGAGUGUCUCAAAUCAGCAUCAUCAGCCUUGGAGCUUCCGUUGUGGCAAUGGUUGUAUGGUUUCAAGUCUCCUGGUAUUUCCUCAGGAUAGAUUUUCAUUUCUAACCACACAAAGCCAUGAGAUUUUGUUUCUGUACCCAUCUAAUCACAUGGAGCACAUGCUCUGCAUGUUUAUGGGGAAAGGGAGCUGGUUUGGUCAGCCCACAGAUGGCCAUCCUCUUCUUGUGGGAAUGCCAGUCCAUCUCCCAUUGUUCGAGUCCACAGCCAGGAAAAUCAUUCUUUCCAUGGCCAGAGUCAGAGCCUCAAGCCCCCGAAUCACAAGAUUAGUCUUUUGACGAGCUGGGGAGCAACAACACUACGAGAAAGGCAAGUGUGCUGGUGAGGUGUUUGGCACUGGGAGAGAAGUGGAACACCAAAUGCCCCCCCUCCACUUUUCUGUUUUUAAUCAGCUGGUGGGCCCUGGGCUGCCAUGGAUGUCUACCUGAAAACCUUGAGGGCUCAGGAAGACACAUGGUAACAGGGAGAGGAAUGGCAGCUCGGAGUCAGGCAAGGCCACUCCCAAUGCCUGAAACACAGUGACUCGGGAGGCUGCUAGGGAGCCAUUCUUACAUUUCCCUGGGGCCGCGGUCUCCCUCCUUUGCACCCACAACACAGAGGGUCAGCCCCAGGACUGUGCUUGAGGUGCAUUGUCCCCCAUAGACCUGUACAUCAGCCCCAAGCACUGGGCCAUCACCUAGUCCCUGGAACUUCAAGCACACAGGUCAGCUUGCCCUGCAGUUGCCAACCUCAGGGUUGUGACUAGUAAACUGUUGGAGACCAAUGCAGGCCACAUAGGUGACACCUCUCCCCCAGAUACAGUCAAUUCUCAUUCAUUCUCACCUUUUUGGCAAGGAUGGGGUAUUAUUUUGGAAAUGGAUGGCGACCUCCAUUUGAGAGAAUAGAACAUGAGCCAACACAACUUGCCAGUGAUUGCCAGUUCCCUCCCAGAUCGUCAUUGUCACCCCUGAAGGCAGUGACUUAGCAAAGCAGUAGGUCAAGCUGAC